This 1074-nucleotide long non-coding RNA is filed under the name Oncorhynchus kisutch (coho salmon). RNAcentral describes it as "lncRNA (ENSOKIG00005001271.1)". Lineage: Eukaryota; Metazoa; Chordata; Actinopteri; Salmoniformes; Salmonidae. The record is from RNAcentral.
UCCCCACCAUCUUGUUGUGGUCCCCACCUCCCACCAUCUUGUUGUGGUCCCCACCUCCCACCACCUUGUUGUGGCCGUGCACAGAGAACAGUGUUAUGCAUCCACAGGGUUCUACCGUGCACAGAGAACAGUGUUAUGCAUCCACAGGGUUCUACCAUGCACAGAGAACAGUGUUAUACAUCCACAGGGUUCUACCGUGCACAGAGAACAAUGUUAUGCAUCCACAGGGUUCUACCGUGCACAGAGAACAAUGUUAUGCAUCCACAGGGUUCUACCGUGCACAGAGAACAAUGUUAUGCAUCCACAGGGUUCUACCGUGCACAGAGAACAGUGUUAUGCAUCCACAGGGUUCUACCGUGCACAGAGAACAGUGUUAUGCAUCCACAGGGUUCUACCGUGCACAGAGAACAAUAUUAUGCAUCCACAGGGUUCUACCGUGCACAGAGAACUGUGUUAUGCAUCCACAGGGUUCUACCGUGGACAGAGAACAGUGUUAUGCAUCCACAGGGUUCUACCAUGCACAGAGAACAGUGUUAUGCAUCCACAGGGUUCUACCGUGCACAGAGAACAGUGUUAUGCAUCCACAGGGUUCUACCAUGCACAGAGAACAGUGUUAUACAUCCACAGGGUUCUACCGUGCACAGAGAACAAUGUUAUGCAUCCACAGGGUUCUACCGUGCACAGAGAACAAUGUUAUGCAUCCACAGGGUUCUACCGUGCACAGAGAACAAUGUUAUGCAUCCACAGGGUUCUACCGUGCGCAGAGAACAGUGUUAUGCAUCCACAGGGUUCUACCGUGCACAGAGAACAGUGUUAUGCAUCCACAGGGUUCUACCGUGCACAGAGAACAAUAUUAUGCAUCCACAGGGUUCUACCGUGCACAGAGAACAAUGUUAUGCAUCCACAGGGUUCUACCGUACACAAUCUGCUCUUUUAAUUAUGUGCUACAUGUAUUUUUGAACAGUAGUAAUAAAAUAAUUUAAAAGAGAAAGAAAUUUCAUGUUCUCCAGCCUCCACCAACAAAAUAUGAAUUCGACUAUAUGUCAAUAAGCAUUUAUUUUAGAAUGAACAGAA